AAAACCGACUCUCGGCAACGGAUAUCUCGGCUCUCGCAUCGAUGAAGAACGUAGCGAAAUGCGAUACUUGGUGUGAAUUGCAGAAUCCCGUGAACCAUCGAGUCUUUGAACGCAAGUUGCGCCCUAAGCCAUUUGGCCGAGGGCACGUCUGCCUGGGCGUCAAUC
RNAcentral lists this ribosomal RNA (165 nucleotides) under Camissonia campestris. RNAcentral's name for it is "5.8S ribosomal RNA". It matches the Rfam family "5.8S ribosomal RNA". Rfam says of the family: 5.8S ribosomal RNA (5.8S rRNA) is a component of the large subunit of the eukaryotic ribosome. It is transcribed by RNA polymerase I as part of the 45S precursor that also contains 18S and 28S rRNA. Functionally, it is thought that 5.8S rRNA may be involved in ribosome translocation. Lineage: Eukaryota; Viridiplantae; Streptophyta; Magnoliopsida; Myrtales; Onagraceae. The record is from RNAcentral.